RNAcentral lists this ribosomal RNA (122 nucleotides) under Salmonella enterica. Its description in RNAcentral is "partial 23S ribosomal RNA". It matches the Rfam family "Bacterial large subunit ribosomal RNA", at positions 2793 to 2925 of the family's 2925-position model. Lineage: Bacteria; Pseudomonadati; Pseudomonadota; Gammaproteobacteria; Enterobacterales; Enterobacteriaceae. The record is from RNAcentral.
CCUGACCUGAGACUUAGAGUCUCCUGAAGGAACGUUGAAGACGACGACGUUGAUAGGCCGGGUGUGUAAGCGCAGCGAUGCGUUGAGCUAACCGGUACUAAUGAACCGUGAGGCUUAACCUU